RNAcentral lists this ribosomal RNA (216 nucleotides) under Bacteroides caecigallinarum. RNAcentral's name for it is "partial 16S ribosomal RNA". It matches the Rfam family "Bacterial small subunit ribosomal RNA", at positions 726 to 944 of the family's 1533-position model. Lineage: Bacteria; Pseudomonadati; Bacteroidota; Bacteroidia; Bacteroidales; Bacteroidaceae. The record is from RNAcentral.
CUGCUGGACCGUAACUGACGUUGAUGCUCGAAAGUGUGGGUAUCAAACAGGAUUAGAUACCCUGGUAGUCCACACGGUAAACGAUGGAUACUCGCUGUUGGCGAUAUACGGUCAGCGGCCAAGCGAAAGCAUUAAGUAUCCCACCUGGGGAGUACGCCGGCAACGGUGAAACUCAAAGGAAUUGACGGGGGCCCGCACAAGCGGAGGAACAUGUGG